GUUAGGAAUAUUGGACAAUGGGCGCAAGCCUGAUCCAGCCAUGCCGCGUGAGUGAUGAAGGCCUUCGGGUUGUAAAGCUCUUUAGCCGAUGAUUAUAAUGACUGUAGUCGGAAAAUAAGCCCCGGCUAACUUCGUGCCAGCAGCCGCGGUAAUACGAAGGGGGCGAGCGUUAUUCGGAAUCACUGGGCGUAAAGCGUGCGUAGGCGGCUUUGCAAGUUGGGAGUGAAAGCCCAGGGCUCAACCCUGGAAUUGCUCUCAAAACUGCAAGGCUCGAAGUAGGGAGAGGAUAGCGGAAUUGUCAGUGUAGCAGUGAAAUGCGUAGAUAUUGACAGGAACACCAGUGGCGUAAGCGGCUAUCUGGACCGAUAUUGACGCUGAGGCACGAAAGCGUGGGGAUCAAACAGGAUUAGAUACCCGGGUAGUCC
This 425-nucleotide ribosomal RNA is filed under the name uncultured bacterium. RNAcentral describes it as "bacterial SSU rRNA". It matches the Rfam family "Bacterial small subunit ribosomal RNA", at positions 354 to 796 of the family's 1533-position model. The record is from RNAcentral.